This 535-nucleotide long non-coding RNA is filed under the name Ananas comosus (pineapple). RNAcentral's name for it is "long non-coding RNA (ACOM_LNC009626)". Lineage: Eukaryota; Viridiplantae; Streptophyta; Magnoliopsida; Poales; Bromeliaceae. The record is from RNAcentral.
UUUUAUAUUUAUAUAUAUAUAUAUAUAGAGAGAGAGAGAGAGAGAGAGAGUCCAGCCGGGAUAUUAUCGAUAGCAUCAAGCAUUUGGUACUAUCAAGUUUUUCGCCGUUAAAUUUAAUCCUUUGACUAUUUUUUACUUGUGAGAUUAUAUAAUUAAACCAAUAACUCACUCAACCUUAGAGGGUCCACAUCAUUCUGACCGUAUAUUUUUUCAUCCAAAAAUCGAAACCUAAACCAAUAACUCACUCAACCUUAGGGGGUCCAUAUCAUUCUAACCGUAUAUUUUUUCAUCCAAAAAUCGAAACCUAAUAACACCAACAGCUUGGUAUUAUUGAUAGAAUUUCAGCCUAUUAUAUAUAUAUAUAUAUACACACACACACACACUCUCUUCUCUAAGGCUGCGUUUGGUUGGAGGGAUAUCUCAGAACAAGGCGGUAUAUCCCUCCAAACACAAUGCAUUUUGGAACAACCGGGUUGUUCCCGGCUUAACGGGUUGUUCCGGGAACAACCCGGUAAGCUUGUUCUCCCUAAAAGGG